This 574-nucleotide ribosomal RNA is filed under the name uncultured bacterium. RNAcentral describes it as "bacterial SSU rRNA". It matches the Rfam family "Bacterial small subunit ribosomal RNA", at positions 335 to 919 of the family's 1533-position model. The record is from RNAcentral.
AUUCCUACGGGAGGCAGCAGUGGGGAAUAUUGCACAAUGGGCGGAAGCCUGAUGCAGCAACGCCGCGUGCGGGAUGACGGCCUUCGGGUUGUAAACCGCUUUCGCCUGUGACGAAGCGUGAGUGACGGUAAUGGGUAAAGAAGCACCGGCUAACUACGUGCCAGCAGCCGCGGUGAUACGUAGGGUGCGAGCGUUGUCCGGAUUUAUUGGGCGUAAAGGGCUCGUAGGUGGUUGAUCGCGUCGGAAGUGUAAUCUUGGGGCUUAACCCUGAGCGUGCUUUCGAUACGGGUUGACUUGAGGAAGGUAGGGGAGAAUGGAAUUCCUGGUGGAGCGGUGGAAUGCGCAGAUAUCAGGAGGAACACCAGUGGCGAAGGCGGUUCUCUGGGCCUUUCCUGACGCUGAGGAGCGAAAGCGUGGGGAGCGAACAGGCUUAGAUACCCUGGUAGUCCACGCUGUAAACGGUGGGUACUAGGUGUGGGGUCCAUUCCACGGGUUCCGUGCCGUAGCUAACGCUUUAAGUACCCCGCCUGGGGAGUACGGCCGCAAGGCUAAAACUCAAAGGAAUUGACGGAAU